CUUAAUCAAUAUGGUCUUUAUAGUUUGCUACUUUCUGUUAAAUUCAAUUUCUUGUGGAAGUAUUGGUCAAUAUUAAAUGAGAAAUUGAUUAAUUUGGCUAUAGUAGUAAUUAAUUUGAUGUCAUUUGUAAGUUAUGUUCUUGCACUAUUUUUUCUAUGAUGGUUUUUUUCUUAGGUUAUGCAAAUUCUUCAACGUGUUGACUGAAGUUGUAUUUACUUUUGCUAGACCUGCCCAAUGUCUUGUAGGUGUUUCAUACCAGUGUAUCCGAAUACCUUGCUGACAUCUAUUUUUUUUUUUUGAAAACUACAGGAUAGUUUCUUUGCUAGCUUUGCUCUUGGAUGGGUCAUCACAAAUGGUGCUGGUCUUGCAUCCUACCCAAUUGACACUGUCCGGAGAAGAAUGAUGAUGACCUCUGGUGAGGCCGUCAAGUACAAGAGUUCAUUUGAUGCCUUCACUCAGAUCUUGAAGAACGAGGGUGCCAAAUCCCUGUUCAAGGGUGCUGGUGCAAACAUCCUUCGUGCCAUUGCCGGUGCUGGUGUCCUUUCUGGUUAUGACAAGUUGCAGCUGAUUGUGUUCGGAAAGAAGUAUGGGUCUGGAUCUGGUUAAGAAUGUCUUGUCUACCAAGCCAGAUAGCUUUUAGAUGGUGAUGAAAAUCUUUUUUUGAGUCUGAAGAACUUAAUUCGGCAAAAUUUUCCUUGAAUAAUUCAGUUAUAGGGGAGUUGAUCCCAAACAGAUUUUAACAAUGGGAUUGAUUUUUGUUCGCAUAAGCCAGAUUUUUACUGUGAGUGGUGUAAAUGCCACACUUAUUUGGAAUUUUAUUCAGAUUAUAUGCAUUUGUUUUUUUUUGUGUGUUAGCAAUUGUUUCGGUUCAUUUUCAUUUUAUGAUUCUGUUGUCAAUUGUUUUAGUUUAUUCUUUUCAUUUUACGAUUCUAAAGUUUUUGUUUUCCGGAACAUCUUAGGAAGUAAAGCAUUUUAAUUUCAGGAGCCAACUGUACUUCUGGUCAGUCUCUCUAGAAGAGUUGCUUUGCAUAGGAUAGGUGUGAUCUGUGCGAUCUGAGAAUGAACCCAAUUGGACGAUGAAGGUUUGAACCUCGCAUUCAUUCUGAAAACACAUUCAGACUUUGAGAUCAGCUCAACUUCGACAUCAUUACCACUCACCAACGAAGCUCCGGUUGAGGAACCUACUUAAUUAAGGAUCUAGGGAGGAACGUAUUACCGAGUGUGGUUGAUGAUUGACUCAUUGGAUACAAAUUUGUGGAUUUACAUGUGGAUAUGGCAGUCUUAUUUCUUUUAUUAGCUUGGGACAGACUACAUGCUGCCACACUAUUGGGAACAUCUAAAGUUGGGUUCUUUGUUAUAAUAAUUGUAAUAUGGUAACUGACCUGAUGUGAAACGAGUAUGUGAUUAUAUAAGAAAUCACACAAGGAUCAGAUGAAGUGAGAUCCUGUGAUAGAGAAAUUAAUGGUAGACAACAGCUCAUUUCGCUACUCUAUUAGCCAAGUCCGUUUUGUCUUGCUUUGGUUCUCAUGGUUUCGAAGACGAGACGAUCCACUGCUCUCCGAAUCUGGUCUGAUGUUUGUUUAUUCAAACUUCUGCGACUUUUCUCUGCGGUGGCGCUGUCACCCAAAUUGGAUUGGCUUCCUUGGUUUGACCAUGGAAAAGUCCUCCCUUUCAACCCUUAAAGACUCGUCAGCUCUUCGUCUUUGAGCAUUUCUGCCAAGGCCGAAGCCCCUCGCAGCCAUCAUUCGCUCUUCAUUUUCUUCACAGGUAUACGGAUUUCCUUCCCUUGCAACCCUUAGUUAUGAUGGAACUUCAAUUAUAAUCAGUUGAUAAUAUUUCCUGGUUUUUUCUUGUAGGAGAAGACGCAAUGGUUGAUCAGGUUCAACACCCCACUGUCAUGCAAAAGGUAGCUGGCCAGCUCCUUCAGCAAUCCAUUCAGGGUUACGAUACUGGCUUCCAAAGACAAGGGAUGUACCAGAGACGUCCUGCGUAUGGAAAUUACUCCAACGCUGCAUCGCAGUACCCUGUGAUGACAGCUUGCAGGGCUACCGCUGAUCUAUCAAUGAUCCCAUCAACUGCAUCUCCAGUUUUUGUGCAAGCCCCCGCAGAGAAAGGCCACUUUUUCGUUGAUUUCCUUAUGGGUGGUGUUUCUGCUGCUGUAUCUAAGACCGCUGCUGCUCCCAUCGAGCGUGUUAAGCUUUUGAUUCAGAACCAGGAUGAAAUGAUCAAGGCUGGUCGUUUGUCUGAACCCUACAAGGGCAUUGGUGAGUGCUUCUCCCGAACAAUCAAGGAAGAAGGAUUCAGUUCGUUGUGGAGAGGAAAUACUGCCAACGUCAUCCGUUACUUCCCCACUCAGGUUUGUGAUGUUCCUCUGUUUUUUUUUAUCUUCUUCUCUCGGGAAAAUAUUAUAUGCUGAAAGUGUUGCUUGUAAAUUCAUGGCAGGCGUUCAACUUUGCAUUCAAGGAUUACUUCAAGAGGCUAUUCAAUUUCAAGAAAGAUAGGGAUGGUUAUUGGAAGUGGUUUGCUGGUAACUUGGCCUCAGGAAGUGCAGCUGGUGCUGCUUCUUCUUUCUUUGUCUACUCUUUGGACUAUGCUCGUACCCGUUUGACUAGUGAUGCUAAGGCUGUAAAGCAGGGAGGAGAAAGACAAUUCAAUGGUCUGGUUGAUGUCUACAGGAAGACAUUGAAAUCUGAUGGUAUUGUUGGUCUAUACCGUGGAUUCAAUGUAUCAUGUGUUGGUAUCAUUGUUUACCGUGGUCUGUACUUUGGACUCUACGAUUCAAUCAAGCCUGUGGUCCUGACUGGAGGUUUGCAGGAUAGUUUCUUCGCUAGCUUUGCUCUUGGAUGGGUCAUCACAAUUAAUGCUGGUCUUGCUUCCUACCCAUUUGACACUGUUCGUAGAAGAAUGAUGAUGACCUCUGGUGAAGCCGUCAAGUACAAGAGUUCAAUUGAUGCCUUUGCUCAGAUCUUGAAGAAUGAGGGUGCCAAAUCCCUGUUCAAGGGUGCUGGUGCAAACAUCCUUCGUGCUGUUGCUGGUGCUGGUGUCCUUUCUGGUUAUGACAAGUUGCAGCUGGUUGUGUUCGGAAAGAAGUAUGGGUCUGGAUCUGGUUAAGUAUGUCUUAUCUGCCAAGCAAGACAGCUGUUAGAUGGUGAUGAAAAUCUCUCUUCUUUUUAGUCUGAACAACUUAUUUUAGCAA
RNAcentral lists this long non-coding RNA (3196 nucleotides) under Fragaria vesca (wild strawberry). Its description in RNAcentral is "long non-coding RNA (FVES_LNC003486)". The record is from RNAcentral. Lineage: Eukaryota; Viridiplantae; Streptophyta; Magnoliopsida; Rosales; Rosaceae.